CAGAGGCAUGGUUGGAAUUGUGCUUCAAUCUCAAUGCUGCGUCUAACAGACUCCUUGCUAAGCGUAUCAGCUUCACUGAUAAAACACUCACAUUUCUGAGGGCUCAUUCUUUGCCGUUGUCUAUAGGAGCCACUUGCUGAGGUAAAGGAGGAUACAGAGACUUCAAAGGAGCGUCCCAACCCUAGUCCAGAGGCAGAGGAGGUCAAAAGCCCCAAAAUUGCAGAGGAAAGCAGUCACAUUCAGGAAAACCAAGAGGGAGAGAGUCAAACAGAAGAGAAUCCAGUUAUGAACUUCUUCAAAACACUAGUGACUCCCACAAAAAAAAACAAGCAAGAAACAGCCACCCCUGCUGUUGCAAAAGACCAGAAAGAGGCCCAACCAACAACAACAACUACUGCUGCACAACUAGUGGAUGCUCCAGCAACAGCCAAAGGAGGAAUGUCAAUCCCACCAGCCCCAGCCCCAGCCCCAUCCCCAGCCCCAGCCCCAGCCCCAGCCCCAGCCCCAGCCCCAGCCCCAUCCCCAGCCCCAGCCCCAGCCCCAGCCCCAGCCCCAGCCCUAGGCUCAUGUAAGAUGGAGGUUAAAGCAGAACUAGCUGCCCAAUCUGUGACCAACACACCAAACGAAGAACCAAAGGGUGCUGCCAAAGAACCAGAGGCCGCCAAGCCGAAAUCUGACCGCCCGUUCAGCAGACUUUUCAGCAGAAAGGCACUGAUAGGCCUCAAGUCUAAAAUCAAGGUUAAGUCAACAAGUGGAGCCAGAGCCCCUGCCAAGCCUGCUGCAGCGACAGUGGAACCAGUGGAGCCACAACCGGUUGUGGAAGUACAGAAUGUAGACUUCUCAAAGACGGCCACUCUGGAGGCCUCUGCCACACUAGAACCACCACCACCAGAGGAAGAGAAGACACCUGCUGCCUCCAAAGCCUCUCCUUUCACUUCCUUUUCUCUUUUCAAGACAAAGGCAGCUGUGCCAAAAAAGGAAGUCCCUGCCCUAGCUGCAGAAGCGGUAGUUGAACCAAGUGUAGCCAAGGACGAACCAAAGGCCCCAGAGGACCCUGCUGUGGACAGCAAGCCCGUGUCAGAGCCCUCCGAGGUUAUGGAGAAUUCCCCCGUCCUCCCUAAGAGACUGGAGAAGAGGAACUCCAUCCACUUGUUCUUCAAAAACCUGGGCAAACGCCAGUCAGAUGCAGGAGUACAAACAGAACCAGAGAAGACCAAAUAAAACAGAAACACCCUUUCAAACAUCACAUGCCAUAUCUGGAAAUGAACUUUUGAUUUGUUAGAUACAUUAUGUUUCUGAUCACACUAUUGAUGUGGUAAGAGCAAGUGGUUUGAGGGAGAGAGGUGGACUGUGGACUAGUCUGUUCUAGUCUAAUCUUUGUGGACAAUUUCAGAGAAUUGUUCUUUGUGGAGGAGGUAAAUAUAUUUUCUGGUUUUAAAGGCUUGAUAGGUAGAGAAAAGUGGUUUUGUAACAUAUACUGAGAGCAAAAUCAAUUUUCUAUACAGUAUGUACCCUUCUUUUAACAUACAUGUCAAACUCAUUCCACGGAGGGCUGAGUGUCUGCUGGUUUUUGUUCCUCCCUUGAUUGAUUAAUUAAGGUCACUAAUUAGUAAAGAACUCCCCUCACCUGGUUGUCUAAGGUCUUAAAAACGAAACACUCGCAGACACUAAGCCCUUCAUGGAAUGAGUUUGACAUCCCUGCUUUAACAUAUUAAUGUGUAAGGAUCUAAUGCAAAUAUUACGUUUAGCAUAUUUUUUUCCCUCUAUACGCAAUUUACUAGUCUGAAAAUAACUUGUGGAGUGCAUACAAUGGUUUCAGAUACAUUCAUAGGACGUCUUGGAGAAGAGAUGCAUAAAGCUUAGCUUGGAAUAGAGAGAUAGUAAUGGAAUAUACUCCAAAUGUAAUGGAGGAGUUGGUGAAAUGGUGGAUAUUCCUGCCAAGAUGUUUUUAUUUAGGCUAGACACAUGCAACUUACAAUGUAGGCUUUAAACUUUGCAGGAACUGUACACGGAUGCAAAUAUAUGCCAAACACUAAAUUACAAUAUAUGAUUAUAAUCAUACACAGGGGGACCUCACAAUCAUUACUUUUUUUGGGAACUACACAGAUCAUCUGGUAGUCUAUAUAGCUAACUGCACAGUCAUGAAUCAUAUUUGAUUAACGUUUCACUGAAGUAUAAAGGUUUGUUCUAAUUUGAGUGCACUGCUUUACAUGUGUGUGCCUGUUUGAAUGCAGAUGUUAUAAUCUUGGGUAUCUUGUCUGUUAAUUUCUGCACCUAUAAUUUGAUAAACUGGAUCUGGAAGUAGAAUAUUUAUUGUGACAGCAAUUUCCGAAUCAUGACAACCUGCAAUGGGGUAUAUGGGGGGGUUCUACUGAGCUAACAUGGAUUUUUUUUUAAAGAUCAUACCAUGGAUCCUUUAGCUAUUUAAUUUUUCAUUGGGGUAAAAUAUUGAAUUUGGCCUUUUAAUGCUACAACCUAUAGAAAUGCAUUGAAUAACACACUCAUAAAUGGCAAAACAGAGUACAAAAAUAAAUAAUAAGGAAUAUGUUUUUGAAUUGUCUGUCCUACAUCUAGGAGAUGUAAUAAAGUUCAGGAUUUACACAUUUAACCCAUUUUUUGGGGUGUCACAAAACUACUUCUAUAUUUGUUUUUAUGUUAAUUAGAUUGACGCACGGGUGCGUUGAUCAACUUUAGGGGUAUUUAAAGCUAUUUUUUUCUGUAACUGUUAAGAGAAUAAAUGUAUACAAUUAUA
Long non-coding RNA from Oncorhynchus tshawytscha (Chinook salmon), 2752 nucleotides. NCBI's taxonomy places the organism in Eukaryota, Metazoa, Chordata, Actinopteri, Salmoniformes, Salmonidae. The record is from Ensembl.